CAGAUUUUCUUCCUCUUAGCCAAUCAGAUUCCACCUUCACUCUCUUUCUCUUCUUCUUCCUUCUCUUUCGCUAACCUGAGCUCUCUUUCUGUUGCAACACUCAAGAAUGACAUCAAACAUUCACAGAUCGAGACUCAAAAUACCACCAUCGUGAUCCUCUUGUCCUUAUGAUCACAACCAUACCAACUGAUUCUUUUGUGGUUGAGUUUUGAGUGGUCAACGUAGAGUGACUCGGAAGUUCUGACUCGAUUAAGUUGGCAUCAUCAUAAUCCCAGCCGAGUUACAAGGUUUUAGGACGUGGGGAAGCUUUUACUCAACUCCCCAUGGCCAUUAGACUAGCUUUGGAGAAGCGUUGAUGUCAAAACAAGCACGUUUAAGGAGUUGAGCUUUUGUCCGAGACUUUCGAGCCAUUUUUAGGCCAUUUUCCAUCCACUUUUGGACUUUUGGAAGAAAACAUAUGAGUUUUUCCAGUUUCUGGCGAAACCAGAUGGCGGCCAACGGGGUGAUCAGCGAGGACCACUGGAGAAGGCGACAGAAUAUCCUAACGACGUCAGGGGAGACUUACCCCAAGGUUAUACGAGGACAAACGAGACUAAGGGGCUACGAUCCUAUGACAUACUACUUUCGACUCGGGGAGAGAGGGGAGGGGGAUGUCAUGCCUGACAGAUUGGAGAGAGACGAUGACUCAAAAUUUUCACUCGGACACAGCUGGGUGUCGCUGUGUCGAGCGGAGAGAAAGGGGGACAGAGCGACUACAGAGCAGGGAGACACAGGGACUGCAUUUCAGCUUUGACUCGGGGAGAGAGGGGAAGGGGACAUCACGGCUGACGAUUUUGAGAGAGACAGUGGCUCCCAUUUUUGACUCGGAGACAGCUGGGUGUCGCUGUGGCGAGGGAAGAGAGGGGACAGAGCGACUAACAUAGCGCCUGACAGAUUGGAGACGGAUGGGAGCUAGGGAUUUGGACUGAGUGAGAGAAAGAUUUUGCUAGCUCCUCUGCCAGGAUCUAUGGGAUUUUCUCCCAUUUUAUAGAGAGAGAGAUGGACAGGGAGAGAGAUACACAGCGGAAAGCAUGGGUGUGUGUAUUCUUUAGGGUUGACGGGUUACGCACAGAGUCGGUGAGGAGGGCAUGCCUCAGGGACGAAUGGCAGCAUCUGGGUUUUCAUUUUUCUCCCUUGAUUCAAAAGAUCCAGCAAAAGCAUACACAUCAAACCCCUCAUUCACACAACAGCCACCAAAGAGACCAUUACUGAGCUCAACCACCUGCAAGUUUUUGAGAAACAAAGAGCCUCAUCCACAGGAAUCUGUAAUUCAUAGCAGCAGAUCGAAACAAAGUGAAAGCUUUUGACUGUGAAUUUUGCAACUGCUACCUUGCUGCUUUGAUCAAGGUGUUAUUGCAACGUUGUGAUCUGCUCUUCUUGCUGCCUUUCAUCUAGGGAUCCGCACCUAUUGCAUCUGAAUCAAGGCUUUGUUUAGAUUGUGCUCACAUUGUUCAAUCAUAAUCUGCUCUUGCUACUGCCUUUAAUCAAGGGGUUCCGAACCAUUACGUUUCAAUCAACCCUUUGGAUAGAUAAAAUGGUCAAAGAGAUUGAUCGAAGCGAACAACAAAUUCUAGGAGGAGUUUUGGUUAAAAAUUUAAAGGAACUGAUUGAGGCUCGAAACAAUAACAAGAUUCGAAGAAGGAUACAGAUAUAUAGAGAAACUCCCCCAGGACCCAGUACAAAGGAAGAAGUCAAAAUAGAAAAAACAAGGAUGGGUUUGCGUGUUUAUGGUAAGGGUGCAAACCGAAACAAAUUGGUCGUCCACACUAUCCAAUUGCCUGAAAAUCGUAGUAAUUCGCCGAAAGAACAACUUCCGUUGAAUGAAGAAGUUUAACAUAUUUUUUGGCGGGUUUUCGAUGGGAUCUACAAGUUUGGUUGUUGCUACAAAAUUGGAAUUUUGUUGCUCUUUCUUGCCUCCACCGUAACAUCCUUCUAGGUUUUCAAUGUAUAGAGACUUAACGGGUGUUAGAUAAGAUAAACGCCAUGUAAACCUCUUUUGUUUGGUCAUAACAUCAAUAAUGUAAACAAUUAACCCCUUUACCGUUCAAGGAUGAAGUGUUGGCGUGCUAGGAAUAUGUUUCUCUGCUUAUAUAUUUUUUCCAUUUCUCUUUUUCUUGAUAGGAUCAUUUGACUCAUGCUUCUUUGUUGGUUAUACACUAAUAAAACAGUUCUUCUAUUAAUGUUUU
This is a long non-coding RNA of Pyrus x bretschneideri (Chinese white pear), 2225 nucleotides long. RefSeq lists it as uncharacterized. NCBI's taxonomy places the organism in Eukaryota, Viridiplantae, Streptophyta, Magnoliopsida, Rosales, Rosaceae. The transcript has 10 exons. The record is from RefSeq and is a predicted model, not a curated record.